UUUGAGAUUAUGUAAAUACGUGUUUGUAAAUAAUUAAUUAUGAUUCUAAACUGUGAAGUGAGUCUUAUGUGAUUUUGUUAAAUUUAUAAAAUUUAUAAUUGUUUGAGCUUUGAAUAUAGGUUAAGCGAGGUUACAUUUGAAUGGAAUUUUUAAUUUGUGGAUUAUAUGUCCAUCAAUUGAAUUUUUUAAACAACUAAUUUGAAAACGUGCUUAAAUUGCCAAUAAUUAAUGAUCCAUAAGUGGUGUUUAUCUAUACAUAACAAUAGGGAACGUAAUGAGUCUCCUAUAUAAGGGGGUCGGGGUGUGUUUCUUUACAUAUAUAUAAAUUGUUUCUUGUGAUGAGAUAUCAAAAUGAGAAAAAGUUUAUUUGUGUUCAUGUUGCUCCUUGUCCUUUUUGUUACAGACAUUUUACUUUAUUCCUAAUUCCUAUUUUAUGCUUUUUGCUCGUGUAAUGUUAUUGCUUUUUAUAUUCUUUUUGUUACAUGUUCAUAUAUGAAGAUUUUUCACAUACAUGUUGAUUCUUUAAGUUUUGUUUUUAGUAAUAAUUAUGGAAAGUACAUGAUUAAUGAUGGUUUUGGAUUUUCAAAGUGGAUAUAUAUUAUAGAAACAAUAUUCAUCACCUGUACAUGUAUGUUUUCUGGGUGAGGACACUUUAUUCAUUAUAUACAAUUAUCAUGAAUACAAAGGAUAAGUACAAGUGAUGUUUACAUUAAGAUGAGAAUGAAGAAUUAAUGUGAUUUUGAGAGAAUGAAUAAAUGUAGAUCUGUAUGGUUGACUGGUGAUGGAUUGUUUUGUUGCAGAUGAGACUUUGAUGACUUGGACAGAAGCAGGGAGAGAACCAAGGAAAUGUCAAGAAGUAGACACGAAAUAUCCUUGUCAGGAUGAUUUUACAUGUAAUCAGGACUGCAUAGAUUUACCUGGUGAUAGGAAUGUAACCGGAAAAUGUGAGAUAAGGGAUAAGGUUAAGCGAUGUGUCUGUAACUAUAUUUGUUAAUCUUGAGCAUAUGCUCAGUGAAGUUACUUAUAAUACUAUUCUAUGUACAUGUACACCGGUCACAUGACUUAAUUUCGUGUAUGCCAGCUGUCAUUUCUGAUGGUUUAUUACUUAUUUAAUAUCAAUAAAAUUGUUUGUGGGUUUUAGC
RNAcentral lists this long non-coding RNA (1142 nucleotides) under Lactuca sativa (garden lettuce). Its description in RNAcentral is "long non-coding RNA (LSAT_LNC009264)". The record is from RNAcentral. Lineage: Eukaryota; Viridiplantae; Streptophyta; Magnoliopsida; Asterales; Asteraceae.